AUUCUUAACCAUUCUCUUUUUUAACAAAAAGACUUUUCAGGAACAAUAAAACACUCUCUCUCUCUCUUACUUGUGUAGGAGCAAUGCAGAGUGUGACAAGAAUGCGCGUGCUGGACUAAGUCCUGGUUCCUUCUGCCAAAUCACAGGCUCUAUCCACUUAACUUUAAGGAGGUGUCCCUUAGCUAACCCCACUCACAGAACUGUCACAAGAGGCCAACACAGUGCACUGACUUGGAGACAGAAGACCAAUAUAUUGUAUUUGGAGGUCAGCAUAUUGAAUUCAGAGGAACUGCAGCAAAAAGAUAAUGCAAGAGAGCCCUCAAGCUUCCAUGCUAGACCUAUGGCCAUGAAGAUGUCUCCUUGUUCAUGGGUGAUUUCCCUAUAACACACUGCAAACCUGUAUGGUGCACAGCAUCUAUCUACAGGGUUCUGCAAAACUUUGGGCUUUAUGUUCAUGCUUUGGGUGGUCACAAAACCAAAAUGAGUAAAUAAUCACGAGAUUUACUCUCCCCUCACCGUGUUUCUUCAAAUUGUCUACGUAGUCUGAUCUUGUUUUUGAAGGAUACCUUUGCAAUUCCAAACUCCAAAUGGAGACAGAAGCUGGGUGAAGCAUAAAUUAAUUUGGGUUUGCUGCAAAUGAGUCUAAAUAGAGUCUGUGAGUUGGGAGUGAAGUGGGUCAUACACUGUGGGAACUGGCCGGGUAAAGUGGCACCAGUCACACUGUGGCUCUUCAGUCACGUGGAUUAUGAGCAGAUCUAAAUUUCACAGCCUCCUUGUGAGAGGCAGUUCGUCAUCCUGUGGUGGAGGAGCCCAGCAGAGCAGCAGUCACUGCACAUCCCCCUCCUUCCAGCGUACCCCAGAAGGCAGCGAGAGACAAGGUGGCUCGGGUGAAGUAAAAGGCUGCGAAGGGCAGGGAAAGAAAACCUGUGCAUGACAGCGUUCACUGCACAGCCAGUUCUGCUUCACUGGGAGCUGUUAAUUGUCCUCCACGUGGAAUUAACUCUCCAGUCAUCCCAACAACUACUGCUGCAUCUAAAUCUUCCCUUUAAUGGGCUCUCAGGGAGCGAGCGGCAUGCAACCUGAACUGUGCUCGCCACUACAUCAAUCUUUCCCUCAUCACUCUCACGCCACGCAGCAAUCGAGAGGAAUGAGCAUCGAGUGGAGCUGCUCACCCUGGCUGUAGUUCCCAACCCUCG
RNAcentral lists this long non-coding RNA (1196 nucleotides) under Anas platyrhynchos platyrhynchos (common mallard). RNAcentral's name for it is "lncRNA (ENSAPLG00000024844.1)". The record is from RNAcentral. Lineage: Eukaryota; Metazoa; Chordata; Aves; Anseriformes; Anatidae.